UGGCACAAUACUUGCAUGUAG
This 21-nucleotide microRNA is filed under the name Caenorhabditis remanei. Its description in RNAcentral is "crm-miR-784-5p". Its record names the gene crm-miR-784-5p. Lineage: Eukaryota; Metazoa; Nematoda; Chromadorea; Rhabditida; Rhabditidae. The record is from miRBase by way of RNAcentral.